This 478-nucleotide ribosomal RNA is filed under the name uncultured bacterium. Its description in RNAcentral is "SSU rRNA". It matches the Rfam family "Bacterial small subunit ribosomal RNA", at positions 26 to 518 of the family's 1533-position model. The record is from RNAcentral.
AGGACGAACGCUGGCGGCGUGCUUAACACAUGCAAGUCGAGCGAGGCCCUCUCUUCGGAGAGGUGCCCUAGCGGCGAACGGGUGAGUAACACGUGGGCAACCUGCCCCUAGCACUGGGAUAAGCCCGGGAAACCGGGUCUAAUACCGGAUAUGACCUUCAAGGGCAUCCUCGAAGGUGUAAAGGAUUCUGGCUAGGGAUGGGCCCGCGGCCUAUCAGCUUGUUGGUGGGGUAAUGGCCCACCAAGGCAACGACGGGUAGCCGGCCUGAGAGGGCGACCGGCCACACUGGGACUGAGACACGGCCCAGACUCCUACGGGAGGCAGCAGUGGGGAAUAUUGCACAAUGGGCGAAAGCCUGAUGCAGCGACGCCGCGUGAGGGAUAACGGCCUUCGGGUUGUAAACCUCUUUCAGCUCCGACGAAGCGAAAGUGACGGUAGGAGCAGAAGAAGCACCGGCCAACUACGUGCCAGCAGCCGC